CUUAGGGAAAACGGGAACGGUACCCAUCUCAACCGGGGCGACACAACGGGGCGACACGGUAAAAGGGUGAAAGCUUAAAGUUUCCAAAAUUGUGUAGUAUAUAUCUCUAGGCAGUCCAGAGAAAUCACCGAAUUUGAUUUCAAUUUUCUUCUGAGUUGCAAGAACUGAGAAAGAAAUGGCUACAGCAACAUACCCACCUCCACCACCAUAUUACAGGCUCUAUAAGGAUUACAUUCAAGACCCCAAAUCUGCUCCAGAGCCUCCUCCACCAAUUGAAGGGAACUACAUCCUGUAUGGCGCAACAUACACUACGGAUGAUGUACUUCCAAGCUUAGAAGACCAAGGAGUCCGUCAGUUGUAUCCGAAAGGGCUGAAUGUUGACUUCAAGAAGGAACUGAAAUCACUGAAUAGAGAAUUACAGCUACACAUUUUGGAGCUCGCAGAUGUUCUUGUUGAGAGGCCAUCUCAGUAUGCAAGGAGAGUCGAGGACAUAUCUCUUAUAUUUAAAAACAUGCACCAUCUUCUAAAUUCUUUGCGUCCCCAUCAGGCCAGAGCAACGCUAAUUCACAUACUAGAACUUCAAAUACAACGGCGGAGAGAAGCUGUCGAAGAUAUAAAGAGGACUGGCCUUCUCAACACACUGCAUUAGUACUUCUAUGUAUCUAUUGUUGUUUGUAGCAUUUUGUAGCUAUUUUCACUGCCUUGAACAAGGUUCUCGAUCAGCGUAACUCAUUUAGCAUCAAUAUUAAGAAGAGAAGAGGCACAGAAACUUCUGAAGGAGUCACUCGGAUGCUUAGAUGGUCACUAGCCGCCAAGAAUUACUGACAUCUCUUGCCAAAACUUGUUCUUUGCAUGCUGGAUCUGACUAACCUACAAGUGCAUCCCUGAUUCAAUAAACUCAGAUAGUUGACGUCACUAUGGAAAAUUAGAAUGUAAUACUUGUUAUUGCACAUUUUCAUAUUGUAAAAAGCCUCCCACAAGUUUGCUAAACCUAAAAUUGAAGAAUAUGUCUAGUCCUUAGUGUGUCGGUUAACUGCUUUAACUGCUGCCUUCAUGGUCGUAUCAAUGUUGUAAAAGUAGGCAUUCUGGGAGCCUUAACUGAAUUUGAGUUUUUGUUGGCCAUAAUACUUAGUAGGAUGUUCCUCGUCUCAUUAUAUUUCUCAGGA
Papaver somniferum (opium poppy) is the source of this 1166-nucleotide RNA transcript. It is a transcript of the gene named mediator of RNA polymerase II transcription subunit 7a-like, with no coding region annotated. The record is from RefSeq and is a predicted model, not a curated record. NCBI's taxonomy places the organism in Eukaryota, Viridiplantae, Streptophyta, Magnoliopsida, Ranunculales, Papaveraceae. The transcript has 7 exons.